AUAUCAAUAAGCGGAGGAAAAGAAACUAACAAGGAUUCCCCUAGUAACUGCGAGUGAAGCGGGAAGAGCUCAAAUUUGAAAUCUGGCGGUUCCGCCGCCCGAGUUGUAAUCUGGAGAAGCGUUUUCCGUGCCGGACCGUGUACAAGUCCCUUGGAACAGGGCGUCAUAGAGGGUGAGAAUCCCGUCUUUGACACGGACUCCCGGUGCUCUGCGAUGCGCUCUCGAAGAGUCGAGUUGUUUGGGAAUGCAGCUCAAAAUGGGUGGUAAAUUCCAUCUAAAGCUAAAUAUUGGCGAGAGACCGAUAGCGAACAAGUACCGUGAGGGAAAGAUGAAAAGCACUUUGGAAAGAGAGUAAAACAGUACGUGAAAUUGUUGAAAGGGAAACGCUUGAAGUCAGUCGCGUCUUCUGGGACUCAGCCUUGCUUUUGCUCGGCGCACUUCCCAGUUUGACGGGUCAGCAUCGGCUCUGGGGGGCGGACAAAUGCGUGGGGAAGGUGGCAGCUCCGGCUGUGUUAUAGCCCCGCGCUACGCGUCCCCCGGGACCGAGGAAUCCGGCGCUCGCGCCUGGGAUGCUGGCGUAAUGGCUUUAAACGACCCGUCUUGAAACACGGACCA
RNAcentral lists this ribosomal RNA (615 nucleotides) under Subulicystidium brachysporum. Its description in RNAcentral is "LSU rRNA". It matches the Rfam family "Eukaryotic large subunit ribosomal RNA", at positions 40 to 668 of the family's 3401-position model. Lineage: Eukaryota; Fungi; Basidiomycota; Agaricomycetes; Trechisporales; Hydnodontaceae. The record is from RNAcentral.